Molecule: ribosomal RNA, 500 nt
Filed under: uncultured bacterium
Lineage: Bacteria
Description: partial 16S ribosomal RNA
Rfam family: Bacterial small subunit ribosomal RNA
Source: RNAcentral
AUUGAACGCUGGCGGCAGGCCUAACACAUGCAAGUCGAGCGGUUGACGGGAGCUUGCUCACUGAUUCAGCGGCGGACGGGUGAGUAAUGCCUAGGCAUCUGCCUAUUAGUGGGGGACAACGUUUCGAAAGGAACGCUAAUACCGCAUACGUCCUACGGGAGAAAGCAGGGGGCCUUCGGGCCUUGCUAUACUAGAUGAGCCUAUGUCGGAUUAGCUUGUUGGUGAGGUAAUGGCUCACCAAGUCGACGAUCCGUAACUGGUCUGAGAGGAUGAUCAGUCACACUGGAACUGAGACACGGUCCAGACUCCUACGGGAGGCAGCAGUGGGGGAUAUUGGACAAUGGGCGAAAGCCUGAUCCAGCCAUGCCGCGUGUGUGAAGAAGGUCUUCGGAUUGUAAAGCACUUUAAGUUGGGAGGAAGGGUUGUAGAUUAAUACUCUGCAAUUUUGACGUUACCGACAGAAUAAGCACCGGCUAACUCUGUGCCAGCCGCCGCCGUAA